UGGGGGAUAUUGCACAAUGGGCGAAAGCCUGAUGCAGCGACGCCGCGUGGGGGAUGAAGGCUUUCGGGUUGUAAACCUCUUUCGCUAUCGAACAAGGCCCGCUUAGGGUGGGUUGAGGGUAGGUGGAGAAGAAGCGCCGGCUAACUACGUGCCAGCAGCCGCGGUAAUACGUAGGGCGCGAGCGUUGUCCGGAAUUAUUGGGCGUAAAGGGCUUGUAGGCGGCUUGUUGCGCCUGCUGUGAAAACGCGGGGCUUAACUUCGCGCGUGCAGUGGGUACGGGCAGGCUUGAGUGUGGUAGGGGUGACUGGAAUUCCAGGUGUAGCGGUGGAAUGCGCAGAUAUCUGGAGGAACACCGAUGGCGAAGGCAGGUCACUGGGCCAUUACUGACGAGGAGGAGCGAAAGCAUGGGUAGCGAACAGG
Molecule: ribosomal RNA, 420 nt
Filed under: bacterium
Lineage: Bacteria
Description: partial 16S ribosomal RNA
Rfam family: Bacterial small subunit ribosomal RNA
Source: RNAcentral